AUAUAUAUAUCAACCUCAGUGGUUUGGAUGUGGGGGGAUUUUUGCUGGCCUGUUCAGCUCCUCUGAAAUGCAUUAGCAGAACAACCUGUUCAUUGGUGUGAUAACUAUCUACGCUAUUGAAUGUGAGGUGCAGUUCAGCUUUCUAACAGUCUUUGGACAGUUUGUUUAUCAUUU
Molecule: unclassified non-coding RNA, 174 nt
Filed under: uncultured fungus
Lineage: Eukaryota; Fungi
Description: sequence contains ITS2
Source: RNAcentral